AGAGCAAGGGCUCUGUGGCCCACAGGAAGAGCGCCUGCAACAUCAGAGACCUGGGGCUCAAAAGACAAGGUCUGGGGACCAAGACAUGGGAAUGGUAUCUGGUGGAAUGUCCUCAGGAAGAAAGAAGAAGCGAUCGGUCAACGUGGAGAAUGCAAAAUAGGAAGAGCAGAGGCAGAAGAUGGAUGCAGGGAAGGUGAGGAUGUAGGGCAGGCUCGGUGUCACAAAAAAGGAUGGAUGGAGGUCCAUGGAGAACGGAUUCGCUUCACUGUACAGAAGAAAUUACUGCAACAUAGUCAAUCAACCAUACUUCCAUAAAACUUAAAAAAAAAAAAGAAAACGAAAACAAAACCAAAAGAAUAAAACACGUGUGUGUGGAUAGUCCUGGAUCCUGAAGGUCAUCCUGGGCAGAAAAAAACGCCAUGGUCUUCCAAUUGCAGUGGACGUGUACUGCCUGAUAGCGGUCUUCUCUUCUGUUUUUUCCCUCCGUUUUGAUGCAAAAGGCAAAUGUCGCAGUCCAUGCUUUGUUCUGAAUAUCUGAAAGCACAGACAGGAAGGUGGGGAGGAAGAGAGGGGAAGGCUCUGGAUUCCAGAGACCCCCGGACUGCGGGAAAAGGAGGAUGGAAGCUAAGAAAGGAGGAUGGAAAAAAAAAAUGAAAACAGAUGGCGUUCCCACUGUGGCUCAGCAGUAACGAACCCCUGGCCCCGCUCAGUGGGUGAAGGAUCCGGUGUUGAAACGAGCUUCAGUGUAGGUCGCAGAGGUAGCUCAGAUCUGGCGUGGCGGUGGCCAUAGAGGAUGGAUUCAAUUUUAUGUGAAUUUGUCUAAGAACUUUUAUACAAGGCAUGAGGGGAUUACAGAGAAUUGAUGAAGUAACAACCACGGCUUUCGGGGAGCAAACACUCUGAGGAAGAGCACUGGCUGGUGAAGCAGCUGCAACAGAAAGCAGGACUAAACGACUACAGGCGGGGUCAGAGAGAAAAGACCAAUUGAGUUUUUCCUUUUUCAUUCGUAUGUAACAUUACUUAGCGGCUUUUUAAAAACUGAAAUAGAGUUGAUUUGCAGUACCGUGUUAGUUUCAGGUGUGCAACGAGGUGAUUCAGUUCUGUAUAUACAGAUUUGUCCAGAUUAUCUUCCAUUAUAGAUUAUUACAAGAUAUUGACAUUUUGACCUGCGGUCACGAGGGGGAGCUCCCUGGAGCUGAGGGCAUCUGCCCGGGCCUGUGUAGGAGAGAUGCGGGUAGAAAAAAAUCAGUCCUCCAUCCCACCCAGUGCCCCUCCCCCACCCACCUCUGGAAGGGACUUCUUGACCCCACACACCCUCGGAGCUUCGAAAUGUGGUUUCCAAAUGCCCAGCAAUGGACAGUGCCAACCCAAAGGAGCUGGCGUUGCCGUGAGCUGUGGUGUAGGUCACAGACAAGGCUCAGAUCCUGCGUUGCUGUGGCUGUGGUGUAGACCAGCGUCUGUAGCUCCGACUUGACCCGUCACCUGGGAACUUCUAUAUGCUGCGGGCGUGGGCCUAAAAGGUCAAAAGACGAACAAACAAACAAACAAAAAAUUAAAGCUCAUGAGCUUGGAAACUCUGAUUCCUGGAAGCCUGAUUACAAACAACCUGAGGGAAGCAUCCUGUUCCCUAAAGACAACCCAACCACAAGCAAUGAAGGAGGAGAGGAAAUCCAGAGGAAGGCCUGGGGUGACUGCAAACCCCAGAACGAGGGUGAUGCCCCGUUCUCUGGAACUGGAACAGUUUUCCUUCCACAUUCAUUAAAAAGUAUGGGCUACUAUACUGGCAGGAAAAAACAUAUGGACAUGUUCUAGGACAAAGCCAUCAAAUCUUUUAUCCCCUUGAACACUCAACAGAAUAAAUGGUUGCUACACCACAUGGGAGAAUGCUGAGUGCUUUGGGUUGGUGGAAAUGGGACAAGGUGUCACCAAACCAAGACACGGGCCACUGCUUUAAUGUGGUGCAUUCUGGAUGAGAAAGGAGCAGAGUGCCCCUUUCCUAUAUAAGGAAAGGUUCUAGAAAUGGGGUCUGUGGGCUGGCAGCAGCAGCAUCUCCCAGUUUGUUGGCAAGGCAGCCUCUCAAGCCCCACCUAAGACCUACUGAACCUGGAAUUCUAGUUGGGUUGCCCAGCCAUGUGUGUUUACAAGCCCUCCUGGUGAUGGAGAUGCAGGCUGAAGUUCGAGAGCCAGUGACAGAAGUCAUUACUUUGCAGUGAGUGACACGGAACCAAGAGCCUGACCCAGGGCCUCCGCCCUUAGGUGACCUAAAAAGGUAAAGGAUGACUCAGCUGACUUGCUGAUUGUGGCCAGGGCUGUGCUGAGAAGGCGGAGAGCAUAUCCAGGCACAGGGCAUGCCAAAGCUGGCCUAAUCCCGCCCUGGGCACCCUUUCUUCACCACCAGCCUCUCCCCACACCUGCCGCGGGGACUUGAUCUGCUAUGGUGGCACUGACACUGGGAAAAGACUGUGUCCUCUCCGACUCCCAAUCUAUUAUUAGUUCCAAUCCGCACAAAUCCACCAGUGCCAAAGGGAAGCUUUUGAGAACUUUGGAAGGUGGGUUAACUGUUUCAGUGCAGCCGCGGACCCAAGCAAUUGUCUGAGCCACUAGACACAGCCACAAGCUUCCCAGAGCGCCAGGGCCACCCCGCUGGGGAAUCCAGCCGGCUCCUCGGUUGGUCUGGCGGCAGAACGCUGGUCGGGAGCAGGUAGUCCCAACCUUCGUUCCUAAGGCCCAAGAUGUGUCUGACUUUUUUUUUUUUUUUUUUUUUUUUUUAAUAAAAAGCUGUUUAUGCACUUC
RNAcentral lists this long non-coding RNA (2793 nucleotides) under Sus scrofa (pig). RNAcentral's name for it is "lncRNA (ENSSSCG00040051003.1)". The record is from RNAcentral. Lineage: Eukaryota; Metazoa; Chordata; Mammalia; Artiodactyla; Suidae.